GCGGUGUACUGAUGGGGUCCUUGGCGGAGCUGUAAAAGGUGGGAACGGGAGAAUGGCAAAAAAGAGAGAACGUACCUUGUUUGCAUUACUCCGUGGUGACGGGGAUGUGAUGGAGCGGGCUGGGAAGAUGGGUAUAUAUGAUGUCCCCGUGUAUAGUGGUGAUGGGAUGGCUGUGCAGUGCUGCAUUGGUGGUGCGAGGAGGGGUUUGCAUGGAAGAAUAAGAGAACGUAGAAGGAGACAUCCAGACAGGAAGGCUCGGCACAGCCUUGGCCCUCAAGGCGUAUGAGCGGGAUCUGGAUGUGGAGUGGCAAGAGGCCAAGACGAUGGAAAUGGUGCUGGACCAUAGGGCAUUAGUGCAGUAGAAAACAUAGAGAUUGAGAAGGGCCACGAUGUUAUUGGCAGUAAUGGUCCUGUGGUGCUGCCACCAGCAUGGAGGUGGUGUGCUGUCCAUGCAUUGUGGGUGGUGUGGCCGGUGUCCAGUGGAGCCCUGUGUCGUUGCUGGAGUAUAGACUUGUCAAUGUGGGUGUGUGGCAGUGUGUAUCUGGGUCUAUGUACUGGAAAUGUUGUGAAUAACUUAAGGCGGAUGUUGUGAACUAUAUUUUGAGUGCUGUUGUGGUUGUGAUGUUUUGUAAAAUUUUAGAAUUGUUUUUGGUAAGCAUCUUUAUAGAUUUUUUUUUUUAGAAUGUAAAGAUUUUGGAAGUUUAGAGUUUCUAAGGAGUGCU
RNAcentral lists this long non-coding RNA (722 nucleotides) under Androctonus crassicauda. The record is from RNAcentral. Lineage: Eukaryota; Metazoa; Arthropoda; Arachnida; Scorpiones; Buthidae.